Non-coding RNA from Glycine max (soybean), 120 nucleotides. NCBI's taxonomy places the organism in Eukaryota, Viridiplantae, Streptophyta, Magnoliopsida, Fabales, Fabaceae. The record is from Rfam.
ACGCGGCUUAGUUAGGAGGCGCACAUCAAUCGGAACUAAAUUCACGUUUGCUUCCAUUCAGAGAUAGGCCUUUUGAAGGGACUCUGAUAUCAUUUGUCCCUCAAGCAGCCUUUCACAUUU